This is a long non-coding RNA of Nicotiana tabacum (common tobacco), 760 nucleotides long. RefSeq lists it as uncharacterized. The record is from RefSeq and is a predicted model, not a curated record. NCBI's taxonomy places the organism in Eukaryota, Viridiplantae, Streptophyta, Magnoliopsida, Solanales, Solanaceae.
AUUGAGCUUUUCAGCCACCGCCUCUUUUCAUCUUCUUUUCUUACCCACCUUUCAGUUCUGUUCCUCUUCUCAACUGUGGUGUUAAAUUUUCAGGAAACAAUGGCGGACUUCUCAUUAUGGGUUUGGAAAACUAAUUUUCGGCUAAAUCUGCUCAUUUUUUCCUCAAUCUGUUUGAUUCUCCCUCCUUAUCAUAUAUGACUUAUAAUUUUUAUUUUUUUGUUUUUAUAGAAGUUCUGAUCGUAUUAUUUUUUGGGAUUUGAAAGUAAGUCAUGAGGGAGACGAACUCCUCAAUCUGUUGGAUGCUCCAUGUGUUCAAUGCAAUGAUUUGUAGAUAUUGUGACAAAGUUCAUUGAGGGACUUAUUGAGGCCUAUUCCAGGUUGCAAUAUCGGAGUGAUUUUCAUGAGGUUAAGGUUGUCUUGAGUGCUGAUGUUUCUGGUGAAAAAGUAUGACAAAAUCGCGUUAAUAUCAGGUCUUCCAUUUGAACUAUGCCCCAUCUCUCUAUUUCAAUACUGGAAUUUUCUUUUCAUUAGUAGCACUAACAAUUGUGCGUUCAAAGCUCCAUAUAUAAGUUGGAAAUGGAUGAAGCUUGAUAGAUUAGUCUAAUUUGUAUAUUGAUGCAACUAGAAAGCUUCUUAUAAUGAGUUAUACUACACUAUAGGGCGUAGCUUGCUCGCCUCUUCUGAAAUAAAAUAAUAAAUUUUUAUGAGAUCCUCGGCAAUUUUGUGCCUAAAACUCAAUACAAUUUUAGUAAUUCCUUAA